This 3441-nucleotide ribosomal RNA is filed under the name Triticum aestivum (bread wheat). RNAcentral's name for it is "partial small subunit ribosomal RNA". The record is from RNAcentral. Lineage: Eukaryota; Viridiplantae; Streptophyta; Magnoliopsida; Poales; Poaceae.
UCUACCUACUACUCCACGUCCUCUGAGGUUUACAGCCACGAGAAGGGUGCUUCCGGGGGUUCCAGUACUUAACCUGAGGCGGAUACAGACGCAACUACAACUUUCCGUAAAGUCUCCACGGCCGUUCUCCACGGUUCUGACUGUUUCCCAAGUUACUCCAUUCACAGAAGUCUCUUCUUUAAGAGGCUGAACGACCCUAACGAACAGUACUUCUCCUCCCUUUUAGCGUCUGUCUCGAUGACCUCUUCGAGUUUUGUACAUUGUUCUAAUACGAUCAACUUGACACGGCGAGUAAACUACAGGGACCAAGUUGUUCGUGAUUCUUCCUACUUAAUCACUGUUAUCACUACCUCAAGAACUACCUUGUGACAAGACCAUAAUAAAUGUGUCUAGGACUAUUCCGAGUUGAAUCGCCAGUCUUUAAAUUCUUUUCUUUCGCGUUCUUCUUACUUCGUUUAGAUAGACCACCACUUGGAAGGUUCUUUUCCUUUGGUCUACCUUGAGAUGACCUUUAAGCAUCAGUUCUCCUUCGUCUACCCUCUUUUCGACAUCUUCUAUCUUGUUUGGUAAGGCUCAAGAAGAGCUCCCUAUUGUUCUGUCCUGUUAAACGCUUCCUUGUUCGAUUUGGACCCGGAAAACUUCCCCAUUUACUGAGGCGCAACCCCUUUAAUCGACAUCAAGGCGAGGGUCCUCAUGGCAAAGGAUGUCUACUUGUUUGCGAUUAGUGUUGUGGUAGACGUUUCAAUCAAUCGUUACAACUCUUACUACUGUGCCUAUACCACCGAAGUUGCUUCUUUUUGUAAAGAGAAUGGUUCUUUUUCCGUUAGGUUUUGUGUCUAAGGUUCCUCUUUAGACCACCAUUUUAAUACAGAUCUCCUCUACGCUUCGGUACCUUCGUCCGUGGCUUUGGUUCGUUCCUACUCGACUCUGUUCGACAGAAGACAUAUAACCCACGACGUUUAAAACGGUGCUACUGAAAACCUCUCCAACAUUUUCGUCAACUGUUCAUGAAACCGUUCCUAAACAAGUUCUCUUUCGGCGACCAUUCCCGGAACUAUCUCCUCCUCGACAAAUCCGAUCGGUUCCGCCGACUCUCCUUCCUUCACCUUCUCCUCCUUCGUUACCUUCGUUUUUAUUUUCGGCUUGUUCGACGGUUCCUGUCGUCGCGUUCCCUACCUUCUCAACUUAGUCUCUAUCUGUUCCUUGUACUUCAACUUCGACUAGGUCUGCCAUUUAGAUUCCUACGACUUUUCUAACCAUUGUCGUUAUCAUCACUUCUUCCACCAUUUUCACCCUAAACACACUUCUGACCACUCUUCCCUUUGUCGCGGCGACGGCGGCGACUCUUAAAUGUUCUACCUUUCCGUCUUCAACUGCUGUGCUCCUUCUUUCCUUUGUCACUACCAAAACCGUUCCUAACGCUCCGACUUUUCCAACACGUCUUGCGUUUACCGCUACCACCGUAUCUUUAUAACCCUCUACCAUUUCGACUUUGACGCUUAUUAACGUCGCCAUUGUGGUAUCCUCCAAGACCUCUUUUUCUACCGCCUAGACUUCUUCCGUCCCGACUCUUACUACGUCUUUUACGACCACUGACACUUGGACUUCUUAGACUUUGAUUACUUGGUCUUCGUCUUCGUCUUCGUCUUCUACAGUUUAGAUUCCUUCGGGCACCGUUAAUCUAGCGGGAUAGGGGAUACCACGAUUGAUUUACACCGUUUUGUUUUAUCUACGGUCCGUUAUACUAAUGACUUCGCUCAGCGCCUACUACUACCAGCUCGCCUUCUAAGGCUUCCGUGGUUUUGACUAUCGACGAAAUGAGGUUACCCGCCCGCCCGCCUGCCUGCCGGACCUAACCAGACUGUACCGUCACUAGCUGCCAACACCUUACACUGUCCACCGUGUACGAAUAGCUGUCUGGUUGCCGACCCAACCGAGGUGCAAGUGUCGAGGUAGGGAAGAAUAGGCGCGUUAGGUUGCCUGGCCUGGGUCGGUUCGGUAAGGGGUGGUGGGAGAGGGAGGAGAAGAACAGCGUGACGUGUAUUAUCAGAGGUUUCUAACUUAAAAGCAUGUUCACAGGAAGGAAGGUCAAUUGAAGUACGAGGACGAACUAGUCCGAUCUCACCAAACUAACGAAGAACUAAACUCUGUGUCUAGCCCCUCUCCUCGGUACGGCCUCAGCCUGUUGCUGAGGCCGCCCGGCUCGUUGUGGCCGCCCCUCCCCCUCGACAGCAGCGGCGCCCUCGUCCUGGCGAAGGACGGGUAGCGGUUGCACUCGGCGUAGUACUUCUUCCGCGAGGGCCGGUUGCGGUUCUAGUCGUUCCUGCGGUUCCUCUGCCACGUCCUCACGCAGAGGCUCAAGUAGAGGAAGUAGUGGCCGCUCCGGAGGCUGUUCACGGUCGCGCUCUUCGCGUUCUGGUAGUUGCCGCUGCUGGAGGAGACCCGGUACUGGUGGGAGCCGAAGCUCCUGAUGCAGCUGGGGGAGUUCGUGAUGGAGGUGUUCAAGGCGCUCUAGCUCCCGCUCUCCCGGCGGCGGUGCAGCUGCAGUUGGCGCGGCGUCGUGGACGGGCUGUUAUUACGGUGGCCAAUGCGGCUGAUACCACCGCGGCGACAGGGGCGGGGCCGGGCCCCUCCGUACUACUACUACCCCGUCGGGUACAUGCCGAGUGGCGGCGGCGUCGUUGUGGUCGUCGUCGUCGUGGUUGUAGUCCAACGUUACCCUCCCUCUCGCCCGAAAGGGAUAGUGCCUCCGUCGUCGCCACCGCCGCCCAGCAGAAGAAGCAGCCCCAAGCCUACCUUUCUCCCCACUGUAGAAAAGAAAAGAACAGCAAAACUCGACUGGUUUCACUCACUAAAGUUGUAUACAAGGAGAGAACCUACUUCGGCACUGAACAUCGAAUCCCUUUAGGUAAGUCAUGUUCCUCCUUAUUAACAAGUCGUUUAGUCAAAAGAAGAUAUUUGUCCUCCUUACAUAUUGAUGCUCAGAUGUUUAGUAUGGACCCUUCGAGAGGUACUUAAUGAACAAAUUGUUGUACCGCUCUGUGUUAUGGUUAUAUAACUACAAUUUUCUUGAGUACUAUCCUUGGGGCGCUGGAUGAGGGAGGCAGGGUAUUAUAUUCUCGCAGCAUAUAAUACCCUACCUCCCUCAUGGUUAUCAUGAAACCAUUCGAUGUUUACCUUUUCUCUCCACUUGAGAAACGUAGCUCAAUUCGCCGAGACAAAGCAGGAUCUGUAGAGUUUUCUCGAAACCAGACGGAUACCGGUGACAACUACGGAAUGCAAGAACACAUGACCUAGAGUGUAUGAAAACUAAGGAGAGAUUAGGAGUAUAACUAUACAGAGGACAACAGUGUACACAAAAGUUAAGAAGUCAAGAGGACGUUUAUCUAAAACGAACUAAAUACACAAACAGGGGACGUAGUACAUGAUGAUACAGUUCGG